GUGCCAGCAGCCGCGGUNAUACNGGAGUGGCAAGCGUUAUCCGGAAUUAUUGGGCGUAAAGCGUCCGCAGGUGGCCCUGUAAGUCUGUCGUUAAAGCGUGGAGCUUAACUCCAUUUGAGCGAUGGAAACUACAGGGCUAGAGUGUGGUAGGGGCAGAGGGAAUUCCCGGUGUAGCGGUGAAAUGCGUAGAUAUCGGGAAGAACACCAGUGGCGAAGGCGCUCUGCUGGGCCAUCACUGACACUCAUGGACGAAAGCCAGGGGAGCGAAAGGGAUUAGAUACCCCUGUAGUCCUGGCCGUAAACGAUGAACACUAGGUGUCGGGGGAAUCGACCCCCUCGGUGUCGUAGCCAACGCGUUAAGUGUUCCGCCUGGGGAGUACGCACGCAAGUGUGAAACUCAAAGGAAUUGACGGGGGCCCCGCACAAGCGGUGGAGUAUGUGGUUUAAUUCGAUGCAACGCGAAGAACCUUACCAGGGUUUGACAUCCUGCGAACCUCUGAGAAAUCGGGGGGUGCCUUUCGGGAGCGCAGAGACAGGUGGUGCAUGGCUGUCGUCAGCUCGUGUCGUGAGAUGUUGGGUUAAGUCCCGCAACGAGCGCAACCCACGUCUUUAAGUUGCCAGCAUUGAGUUGGGCCCUCUAGAAAGACCGCCGGUGAUAAACCGGAAGGAAGGUGUGGGAUGACGUCAAGGUCUUCAUGCCCCUUACAUCCUGGGCUACACACGUACUACAAUGCUACGGACAAAGGGCAGCAAGCUCGUGAGAGUAAGCAAAUCCCAUAAACCGUGGCUCAGUUCAGAUCGUAGGCUGCAACUCGCCUACG
This 821-nucleotide ribosomal RNA is filed under the name uncultured Synechococcus sp. RNAcentral describes it as "bacterial SSU rRNA". It matches the Rfam family "Bacterial small subunit ribosomal RNA", at positions 505 to 1320 of the family's 1533-position model. Lineage: Bacteria; Bacillati; Cyanobacteriota; Cyanophyceae; Synechococcales; Synechococcaceae. The record is from RNAcentral.